AAUGUGUUUUUCAUAUAAGGGACAAAAUUAAGAAUAUUUUGUCCAGUGUUAAGGAUUUGGGUAGAAGUACAUUUUACAAAAUAUCUCUCGUCUCUUCAUUUAGACUUAUUGUCACAUACAUUUACAGUCCUGAAAAUGUCAACCCCCUGUUCCUAUUCCCUCCAGUUUCUUAUAAAUCACAAUGUAAGCUAAAUGAAUCCCCUGAUCCCCAGGGAUGAGACAGACACUCCUGGGAGCUUCUAGAAUUUUUAUAAUGUAAAAAAUUUUCUUAAAAUCGGUUUGUGUAGUGUUAGUUCUGUAUCAGUAAUAUGUAACAUAACCAAACCAGAUGACAGCCUUAUCUGUGCUGGUUAUAGCGUUGCAUCAAUUCCUGUCCUGCUAUAUCUUGCACGCUGCUGUGAGAUACUGGAUGUUUCUCUGGACUCUGCACAGCCUGCACCUACACUGUAAAAAUAUCUUUAAAAUUUAUAGUAAAAAUUUGUAAAGUACCAACUGUUAGACUGUAACAUCCUAAACAUUAUUUUGAAAAUACAUUGAAUUACCAUAACUCAAACAUAAAUUUUGCAUUAUGUUUUCUACAUUUCUCUUAUGAAAUGUAGAAAACAGAAAUUUAUUGUAAAAAUUUUAGAAAUUGUAAAAUUAAUAGUUUGAUAUUGCUAGUAGUUAAUUAACAUAAGAUUAACAGUACACAUAGGCCAAAUUUUGCAGCUCUGUGAUGUGAAACCUUUAAUCGGACUGCAGAAAUUAUUUUUUACAGAGAAUAGAAUGCUGGUAUGAUAUUACCUAUUGUAAUCACAAGAUUUUUUUGUCUUAGACAUUAUUCUUUUUUUUUCCAUCUUUUUACAUGUCUUUUUGUAGGCCUUAACAUAUUCAAAAACUCACCAAACUUUGCCCAAUAUUGUUCCCAGUGUGAAAUUUUCGGAUUCCAGUGGAAUCAAAAGUGGACGUGGCCACAUUGCUUGACAUCGCCCCCUAACAGGAGAUAGGGCAAACCGUACAUUGUGGAGAUCUGAAAUUCUGUAUGUAGGUAGCUCACCCCAAGUGAAGAAAAAAGGUCUCCUGAAGGUUUGCCGUAAAAUGGACAGGGAGGCAGCCAUUUUGGGUCAAAGGGCAAAUUUUGGCCAUUUUUGAUAUUUUCACACUUUGAACUUUAACAAACUCUUCCUAGGAAUUUUGAGCUAUCAUCUUCAUUUUCGGUGAAGGGACAUAGUUAAGGGAUGGGGCAUUAAAAGUUAUCAACAUCAUGAGUUUUAGAGCAUGUUUGGGUGUGUGGCCAAGCAACAAACUCACAAAUGCAAAGAAAGCACUAUAGCUUUCACAUAAAAUGUUCAAUUGGCACCAAACUUGGUAUGAGUGAUCCACGUUGGAUGUUGUCAUAUUCUGACGUCAUCUAAGCCCCACCCCUUCAAAACAGGAAGUGACUUUUUUUUUUUACUUGGAAAGCUCCAGAGAUGGAGCUUGUGUCAGAAGACAAAUAACUAAAGGUGGGACCAAGUCAGUGUUUUACAAGUCUCAAGUAAGUCUCAAGUCUUUAUCCCAAGUCAAGUCUCAAGUAAAGACAGUCAAGUCAAGUCUCAAGUCAUGACAGGCAAAAGUUGAUGCAUUUGAAAGACCAGAUUUAUAUAGCAUGACAAAACAUUGCUUACAAGUGAAAGCUACGCUGCUUCAUCAAUGUAGCCUGGAGUACACUUGCUAAUGUAGCCUGGAGUACACUUGCUAAUAACACGAAGAUAGCUGAAGUCAACUAUCUCAUAGCAAAAGAAAAGUACCACCUACCAUUCUACUGUAUGUGCAACUUUAAACUUUAAAAAGUUGGAAGUUGUUGCAACCCCAUCUGAGAUCUUCAUGUAGAUUUUGCAUGUUACAGUCUGUUUUUGUUGCAUACUUCAUAAUUCAUGUACCCAAAAGAAAUUAUUCGCAGGAGCAUAUGUGCUUUUAGCGUUUUUUUCAUCUCCUACCGGCUCCCUCCCCGUUUAAAAUUUUUUAAAAAAAUAAAAGUUAAAGUAGAGGGACGGUCUACGUCUGUUUACACGGAAUGAGUGAAACAAAUUAAUGGGGCCCACUUUAUAAAUAAUGUGUUUUAAGCUAUAGAUUUUUUUUAAAAAUAUCAAGUCUUUUCAAGUAAACAGGUUCAAGUCCAAUUCAAGUCUUGAACCUGUUAAGAAGUUAAGUUCAAGUCUCUGAACAUUUUUUUAAGUCAAUUCUAAAGCCUUAAUAUUAAUUACUUGAGUCCAAGUCAUGUGACUUGAGUCCCCACCUGUGCAGAUAACAAGUUGGUCUUACUUACUUUAAAGUGCAAAGAGUUUUUUGCUGGAGGCCAUGGGCGUGACGAAGUCACAGGUCACGCCCGUUGCCAUACGUUGGCUCUAAAUUCCACAUAUUUCAGCCGAGCUGUACCAAACUCACUGUGAUCGGUCUUAAUCCACCCACAAAAGGAAUUCAGUCCAAUAUUUACUGGGCGUGGCCUAAUUCCCCCACAGCGCGCCCUAGAGUACUUUAAAUAAUCACCCCCAACCAAGCUUUGACUGACAAUCAUGAAAUUCAGCAUGUGUAUUUUCACAGGACCUUAAAAAAGUCUGUUGUAGCCAUGAAGUCGGCCAUUUUGGAUCAGAGCCACUUUUAUAAAAGUUGUAUCUGAGCGAACUCCUCCUACAGCUUUUGACAUACAGACUUCAGAAUCCCUCAGCAUCGUCUUUUGAGGCAUUGAAGGUUAAUAGUUAUCAAAAUCCUUUUCCUACAUCAAAGCGUUUGGACGUGGCCAACCUCAAAAUCUGACCAUUCGCCAUAAAGCAUCAAGGUGGAAUAACUUCCACACAGAAGCGCUCAGCUGCAUCAAACUUUCUUUGUGUCAUAAUAGGCCAAACCUAAUCAUAUGUACCUGGUAAACUGGUGAUAUCACCAAUUUGCCAUGUGAAUUAAUUAUAUUGAUUAUGUGUAAUUUUAUGCUCACCAUACAUCUGUCAUAUAGUAAGAUAGCGGUACGUUAGGCAAUGCUGUUUGCAAUGUAUUGUAGUGGGCAAAGAGGUAGUAGGCUUAGGGCAACAAGUCUCGACACAGUUUUUUAUGCGUUUUUCAGAUAACUUUGUGUUAGACUUCAAGGUUUACAGUUAAUGCAGUUACUGUUGUUUGUUAUGUAAACACGGAGUUCCCCAGAUUGUAUUUCUGCUUGAUAGCAGCAUCACUAUCAAGACCACAGUACUGUUUAACAUUUUUAACUCUGCAAUCCUACAGUUGAGCAGUAGCUCUGAGCUUCCUGAACUCAACACAGUGUUGUCAGUCCAAGUGCAUAAGUGCUAGCUAGAAGGCGCUAGUUAAUGGUGCUGAGACUGGCUUGGACUGGUCCGUCGAAGGCUGCAGCCACUGAACUGAGACGCAACCUUUGAAAUCAAGUUUCCGCUAUUUCUGCACACUCGGAAAGAAUCCCAGAGGAUCUUGCGAUGAACACUUGACUGACAACAUAUGAGCCUCAAGCUAUUUUAAAGAUGAUGUCCAUGUUACACAUCCUCUUCAGCAAAGUCUGGACUCAGCCACUUGUUACUCUUGAUCAACCCAGAGCAAAGAGUCCUUUUGUCACAUGAAUUUCUUCCACCAUGGAUUAUUCCUCAUGUGGACACAUGCUGGGGGGUUUUCAGAUCUCAGUAGUGUCAUGUGAGGAUACUAGACAGAAAAUUGAAUCUGUUCUGUUUUUAACUGAAUGUUUAAGUAGAAAUUGUUUCUGUAAGUGUAUUAGUCAUAGCCUGUAUUUUUGUUUACUUUGGACUUAUUUCCUGUAUAAUUUCCCAUUUUGAAAUGCUGACAAACUACAUUCCCUUGUGUGUUGUGCUAUAUUUUUAAUAGUAAAAUUUUGGCAUCUGCAGCUGCCGGUAAUUUAUCAUAGACUUGAUUUUUACAAUAAAAUGUCAUAAUGUA
Long non-coding RNA from Xiphophorus hellerii (green swordtail), 3909 nucleotides. RefSeq lists it as uncharacterized. The transcript has 2 exons. The record is from RefSeq and is a predicted model, not a curated record. Lineage: Eukaryota; Metazoa; Chordata; Actinopteri; Cyprinodontiformes; Poeciliidae.